This 374-nucleotide unclassified non-coding RNA is filed under the name soil metagenome. Its description in RNAcentral is "partial contains 5.8S ribosomal RNA, internal transcribed spacer 2, and large subunit ribosomal RNA". The stretch from base 1 to 120 matches the Rfam family "5.8S ribosomal RNA", at positions 35 to 154 of the family's 154-position model. The record is from RNAcentral.
GAUGAAGAACGCAGCGAAAUGCGAUACGUAAUGUGAAUUGCAGAAUUCAGUGAGUCAUCGAAUCUUUGAACGCACAUUGCGCCCUUUGGUAUUCCGAAGGGCAUGCCUGUUCGAGCGUCAUUAUCACCCCUCAAGCCCCCCGGCUUGGUGUUGGACGGUUUGGCGGAGGCCCUCCGGGGCCCUUGCCCCUCCCAAAGACAAUGACGGCUGCCUCGUUGGACCCCCGGUACACUGAGUUCUUUACGGGACACGUACUGGAGUAAGGGUGCACGGGGCACGGUCUGCCUCCCCUCAGGGAGAAUCUUUUUUUACAAGGUUGACCUCGGAUCAGGUAGGGAUACCCGCUGAACUUAAGCAUAUCAAUAAGCGGAGGA